This 1243-nucleotide ribosomal RNA is filed under the name Batillaria sordida. Its description in RNAcentral is "partial 16S ribosomal RNA". It matches the Rfam family "Bacterial large subunit ribosomal RNA", at positions 538 to 2612 of the family's 2925-position model. Lineage: Eukaryota; Metazoa; Mollusca; Gastropoda; Batillariidae. The record is from RNAcentral.
UUUAUAUAGCUCAGGAAAUAAAUUAAUCUAAAGUGAAACUUGAAACAUCUAAAGAAUUUAGUAUCGGAGAAAGAAACUUAAUUUUAGGAGAUAAAAGUACUGUAAAGGAAAGAGCUAAAAAUAAAAAAAUUAGUUUAAUUUGCGUACUUUUUGCAUCACGGCUUAGCAAGAAUUAACUUAAAAUUUUAAAUUCUCGAAAGUUGGCGAGCUAUUUUUUUCCGGAAAUUAGGCCUAAUUUUUAAAAAUUACUCAAAAUGUAGCAAAAUUUUAGCAAGAGUGAAAAAUAGAGAUGAAAUUUUAUCCGCGCUAACGAUAGCUAGUUUUCCCAGAAAUGUAUAGAAGUACUAAAAUGAAGAUAAGUCAGAGAAAGGCUGUAUUCUAUGACUUGUUUCAACAUUAAAAGUUUUUAAGGAUAAGCUUGAAAACAAAAGGUAGAAAAUAUAAACAAAACUUAUAACGUAGGCUUGAAAUUGGCCACCAUAAAAAACUUAUUAUAAAGUAGUUUUCGCAUUUUGUAAAAUGAAUAUAUUUUUAUUCCGAUCUUUAUGGGAAUAAAAGAUCAAAUUAAUUAGUCUUUUAGCCUAUGCUAAGAUGAGUAUUAAAGAUUGUGGUAUAAGCUGAGAAUUCUAUAAUUUUGAUUCUCGUAAAAAAUUGAAACUCGAAUAAAAUAGAAAGAAGGAACUCGGCAAAAUAAAUUGCUUCGCCUGUUUAUCAAAAACAUGGCUCUUUGUUAAGAAAAAAUAAAGAGUCGAACCUGCCCAGUGAAGAUUUUUAACGGCCGCGGUACUCUGACCGUGCAAAGGUAGCAUAAUCAUUUGCCUUAUAAUUGAAGGCUUGUAUGAAUGGUUUGACGAGAGCAAUACUGUCUCCUUUCUAAUUAAUAGAAUUUAACUUUCAGGUGAAGAGGCCUGAAUAAAAUUGAAGGACAAGAAGACCCUGUCGAGCUUAAAAGAAGAGUAGAAAAUGAGCUAUAAUUAUUUUAAAUGUAUUACUAUUAGAGCUUUUUGGUUGGGGCGACUAAGGAACAGAAAAAGCUUCUUUAAAUAUAUACACUUAUUAGUGAUGAUCCAGUAAAUCUGAUUAAAAGAAUUAGUUACCGCAGGGAUAACAGCAUAAUCUCUCUUAAGAGACCAAAUCGAAAGAGGGGGUUGUGACCUCGAUGUUGGACUAGAAUAUCCUAAAGAUGCAGAAGUCUUUGAGGGUUGGUCUGUUCGACCAUUAAAAUUCUACAUGAUCUGAGUUC